This is a long non-coding RNA of Acanthochromis polyacanthus (spiny chromis), 704 nucleotides long. RefSeq lists it as uncharacterized. Lineage: Eukaryota; Metazoa; Chordata; Actinopteri; Pomacentridae. The record is from RefSeq and is a predicted model, not a curated record. The transcript is spliced from 3 exons.
ACCUUUACAGUAAAGUGCAUUUAAGUCAAAGUGGAUUACCAGUUUUUUGUGCUGUUUCUAAUCGGUCUUCCUUGCUUUUUUCCCCUCCUCAGCCCUCCUGAAAAAUAUAUUGAUAAAGCAGGAAAUGAUGAUGGACCAAUUAAGGAUCAUCUUUAAGACCCUACAGUCUAUGAAGUCUUCUGAUGAGGAAGACAUUGGCCUGGAUCCAAAUAUUUUGCCUCUCAAAGAUGUCGAGUCUCUUGAGAACCUGGAAGAACAACUUGGGAUUAACCCAGACCUCAAGAAACAGUUGGCAAACACACUGGGUCUGAAAGGAGGGACCAACAUUAAAGAGAGUGUUUGGAGGGUGAUGCAGGCCACAGUAACAGACUCCUUGGCCAAGAAUAUCAAUAUGAGAGGCGUCAACGGCAAGAUUGGCUUCCAGCGCCUUCGCAUCAGUGUGUGCUGCCGUGAGGUGCAACAGAUUAACAAGUAGUGCCACUGACCAAGAAACUGAUGCUACAGUGAAAAGAUGGUUACACCUGGCCCUGAUGGAGAUGGAGGGAGGAGAGUCUGGAUGCAGAGGAAGACCAAUGAACAGGAAAGGGGAAAUUAAUGAUGGUUAAUGACUAAUGAUGAUUUUUACACUCGUUCCUGUAGUUUUGGACAUCUAGUUCUGAGCCCGUUAAGUUUUUAUUUGUUAUAUUCAUUACUAUUGUUGUUCC